AGCUUCUGCUCUGCUACACCUUCUCUUUUGUGGUGUUAGUCUUCAUCGGUGUUGGUUGUCAGUGAUCGGUCGAAUUUUUCGUGUUGGUCCUCGUCGGUUUAGUCGAUAGUAAGCGGUUAAAACUCCGUUUCCGUUGGUGUCCAUUGGGGGAUGUAUGAUUAGUCGGCGAAACAAUGGGAGAUUGCUUGGGAGUCUCAAAACAGUAUCUCUCUUGCAAAUACUGGGCAAAUGGCACAGCAUUUAGAUGAAACUAUGGAAGAUUGCGUAGGUGUCGCCAAACAGGCUCACUCAUGCAAAAGUGUGGCGAGAUCCUGACAAAUCUACCAAAUUUUGUAAUGGAUUCCUGGUAGUUCUUGACGUUCCAACAAGGUUGAACAGCCCAGAUGCUUUGUAAUGGAUUCCUGGUAGUUCUUGACGUUCCAACAAGGUUGAACAGCCCAGACGCUAAUGAACAGAGGUGUGAAGAGAUCCUGACAAAACCAGUGUCAAACUUUGUAUUGUAUUCUUGGUAGAACAUGACGUUCCAACAAGGUUUAGUAAUUCAGACGCUGUGACGUUCCAGCGAGUUUAGCCAUUCAGAGGCUGAUCAGCUUUGUUAAUCUUGAACACUUGCUGACAAGCCGGUGUUCCGUUUAGGAGGGCUGCUGUGGAAGUUGUGUGAUUCGGUGUACACAUCAGUGCAUCUGGGAAACCGCUUAUAGAUAAAUGUAAAAUAUAAAUCACUUGUUUAAAUAAUUUUGUCCUAAGGUAUUUUGAUUGGUCAUAUUAAGCUUUAGUGAAUGGGAUUGUUCAUAAUCCUGUAAAAGAAAUUUUAAGAGUUCCAUUACUACAUUGCAAGGCUUUUGAUCAGACUCCCAAUAUCUCCAAGGCCUGAGUCUUGGAGCAGCAAUUCCAGCAACUUCCAAAUCUCGGUUCAGUAAAGUAAUGCACAGCAUAUUGGCGCUUGCAUAAUUGGGUGACUUGACUGCAAUGGUCUUUGGCAAUUGGUGCUUAUAACAUGUAUACUAAUUACUCUUGAUAUAUUCGUAGACAUGAGUUAAAGACCUGAUAAGUGUAUGGUUGCUAUUGUAAGGGAAAGUAAGAGUACAAAUUAGCUAGGUGAAGUUUUAAAUCUAUCCUGAUUGGCGUUGAAGUGAAAUUGACCAUGACCAGAGAUGACAGAGGUUGUCGGCUAGUAAAACUUUUCCCUCAAGCAGGCAGUCGUUAAUUAAAUGGCUGAGUAUCACAUGUGAAACAUCAACUUAGUUUAAUUUCAGUGAAUUAGUUAUGGAAUAAAAUUGACGUUAAAUGUAUGCUUAAUGUUGAGUAUAGCUGCAAUUUCUUUGCCCUAUGAAAUUGAGAGUUUGAAAUUGUAACAUGGUUUCUUAAAAUGGCUGUUCAAUAAAAAAAUCUUUAGAAAGUUUUAACUGCAAAUUUGGUAGUUUACCCUGAAGGUGACCCCAUGCUUGCUUUCAAAAGUUUAAAACUUAGUGACAUCAUUAAGUCAUUUUGACUACUUAUUUGGUUUAGGUUUUAGCUUUAGUGACUCCAUUCCAACAUGGCAUUUUGACUGCUUAAUUGGUUAUGAGUUGAAAGCUGGAAGUUUAUUCAUGACCAGCACUAAGCUUGUGUUAGCUGUCAUAGCAAUGAUUGUUUUUUUAUAUGGAAUUACAGCGAAGUGUGCAAUACUAAAUGCCCCAUUAUCCAUACUGAAGAAGCAAGGCCCUUUGAUUGCAAAGAGUGUAGUUUUGAUAGACUAAAAACUUAAUACUGAGCUGGCUUUAGAGUAUCAUCGAAGACUAGUGAAAGCAACUUUGUUUAAUUUGUUUUAAGUAUCGGUUUUAAGAACAGACUUAAUACAGUACAACUAUAUCACCUUUGCGUGGUGGUGGUUGAAUGGUACUGGUGUAAGGAAAGCUGGUAUGGUCAAUUUCAUUAAGUUUGUUGCAUAGUGUUUUAAAGGCAUUUAAUACAGUCCUUGUUAACUUUCUGGAAGAGUUCUU
Molecule: long non-coding RNA, 1982 nt
Organism: Macrobrachium nipponense
Lineage: Eukaryota; Metazoa; Arthropoda; Malacostraca; Decapoda; Palaemonidae
Exons: 3
Source: RefSeq, a predicted model, not a curated record